AGUCUAUGGUCUGCCUCAUAGAUAUAUUCUGCCCCCUGUUGUUAUAAAGGGCCGCAGAACUUUAACUGUGCUAAGGUAGCGUAAUAGUUUGUCUUUUAAAUGAAGACUGUAUGAAUGGCAACACGUGGCUACACUGUCUCCUAAAGGUUAAUCAAAAGUUGCUUAGAGGGUGAAAAAACCCUCCUACAGUAAAAGGACGAGAAGACCCUGAGAGCUUUGACGAAAAGUCUAUAAAGAGACCUUAGUUUUUGUUGGGGCAACAAGGGAACAAGGAACUUCCCCUUUAAACAAGCCCCCCUUCGGGAUAAAGAAUAAGCUACCUCAGGGAUAACAGCAUAAUUUUAUUUAAGCUUGUGACCUCGAUGUUGGACUAGGGAAGUAAGGGUCCAGAAGAUCUUUAUGUAUGCUCUGUUCGAGCUAAUUCCCCU
RNAcentral lists this ribosomal RNA (428 nucleotides) under Siphonaria sp. UF 348581. Its description in RNAcentral is "partial 16S ribosomal RNA". It matches the Rfam family "Bacterial large subunit ribosomal RNA", at positions 1874 to 2597 of the family's 2925-position model. Lineage: Eukaryota; Metazoa; Mollusca; Gastropoda; Siphonariida; Siphonariidae. The record is from RNAcentral.